CGAUGGUGAUGGUGAUGGUGUGGAGGGUGACCAUGUGGCCCAGGAGGACUACCAAGUGGAGGUGGCUGAGAACCAGGUGGAUGAACAUGCGGCGGAUGAGCUGGUCCGGGAGGAUGUGGACCCGGUGGUCCAGGAUGGUGAGAACCCGAGCCUGCCGGUGGAGGUGGAUUGCGCAUAUUUCUCGCAAUAGUAGCUUUCUUCGUUUUUCAGCGAUGAGACGAACCACACUUGUUUUUACCUUAUGGAAAUAUAAUUGGUGAACCAAUGAAUCAAAA
This is a long non-coding RNA of Medicago truncatula (barrel medic), 275 nucleotides long. RefSeq lists it as uncharacterized. Lineage: Eukaryota; Viridiplantae; Streptophyta; Magnoliopsida; Fabales; Fabaceae. The record is from RefSeq and is a predicted model, not a curated record. The transcript has 2 exons.